GACUUCGUAGGUUAAAUAAACUUUGUAGAUUGCAUUUACAAGAUGGGAAGUUA
This 53-nucleotide transfer RNA is filed under the name Centrorhynchus milvus. Its description in RNAcentral is "tRNA-Ala". The record is from RNAcentral. Lineage: Eukaryota; Metazoa; Acanthocephala; Palaeacanthocephala; Polymorphida; Centrorhynchidae.